Molecule: ribosomal RNA, 426 nt
Filed under: uncultured bacterium
Lineage: Bacteria
Description: bacterial SSU rRNA
Rfam family: Bacterial small subunit ribosomal RNA
Source: RNAcentral
GGGCCCGCACAAGCGGUGGAGUAUGUGGUUUAAUUCGAUGCAACGCGAAAAACCUUACCUACUCUUGACAUACUUGGAAGCUCUUGUAAUGAGAGUGUGCCUUUUGGAACCAAGAUACAGGUGCUGCAUGGCUGUCGUCAGCUCGUGUCGUGAGAUGUUCCGUUAAGUCGGAUAACGAGCGCAACCCUUACCCUUAUUUGCCAGCGAUUCGGUCGGGAACUAUAAGGGGACUGCCGGUGAUAAACCGGAGGAAGGUGAGGACGACGUCAAGUCAUCAUGGCCCUUACGAGUAGGGCUACACACGUGCUACAAUGGGGAAUACAGACGGACGCUAAGCCGCGAGGUGGUGCUAAUCCUAAAAAGCCUAUCGUAGUCCAGAUUGGAGUCUGCAACUCGACUCCAUGAAGUAGGAAUCGCUAGUAAUCG